This 84-nucleotide transfer RNA is filed under the name Clostridia bacterium. RNAcentral describes it as "tRNA-Leu". Lineage: Bacteria; Bacillati; Bacillota; Clostridia. The record is from RNAcentral.
GCGGAUAUGGCGGAAUUGGCAGACGCGCACGGUUCAGGUCCGUGUGAAAGUUCUCUCAUACAGGUGGGGGUCCUGCUAUCCGCA